ACUGGCAGCUUUUCCAUUUCCUUCUAGCAUGGAGUGCCCCAGACUUCUCCACAGAAGCCACUAAUGAGCUUCUUGCCUUUCAAGCCCCUGAUUCACUAAUAACAGAAUUUCAGCAAUGUCUGAAGUUCGGGACCUUAUCUUUUCUUCCUUUAGAAAACAAACAAGCAAAGAAAAUAUGUUACUUGCUGAAGCCACUGACUCAAUCCUGUCUGUUUAAGGUUUUAAAACAGAGAAUUUAUUCAAGAAUCUCAGCUUCUGCUUUGCAAAUGAGUUGAAAGCUUAAGGAUUUGACCCCAACUUUCAAAAUCCAGAAUUCACCCUGCUGUUUCUCCAUGAGUCUGACCUGCAUCAACUGCCUCCCUUAUUCUGGGAUUCCAGUUGUGGAGCUCAAGGACAAGUCCAUUCUGGGCUGGCUGUAUCCAACUUCUUUAGUCCAACUAUAUCCCCACUGGAAGCCAGGCUCUUUCCAACAGCUGUCACCCAUGCCUCUUUCUAUGUUUGUUAUCUGUCUCUAGGUUCUGGUAACUACUUCCUUCCCUUGCCCCUUCUGGCCUAGGGUGCUACCAAUCCCUCCUCCAAAUCCAACUGUCACUAGCCUCAAAGUACUUGUAGCUUCCUCACCUUACUUUCACCUUAAUAAAUGGUCCCCCUACUAUCUCUCUUCAAAGCACCCAAUUUGAGUGUGCCAUCUGUUUCUUGCCAGGAUCCUGGUUGGUACAUCAACCAAGCUGCACUGAUGGAGGAGCACUGUGCUGAACUUUAGGAAUGAAGCCACAGGGCCCUCACUGCCCCCAUAGUCACCUUGGUCAUCUUCUGCCUCCCUGAAAGACUAAAUUCAGUCAGUUCAGAUACAUACACAUCCAGACAUGUCAGGGAAAACUCCAUUUUGUAAGGAUCUCUGCUUAAAAUGCCAAAAGUUUGAAAGUUGGCAAACACUUGAGAAAAGCACAGUUCUCUGUCUUACUCUUACUCUAAACUUGGAGAUAAAUGCAUUUUUAAAAUUGUGCAUGUUAGAGUGCUAACGUGUACAAGAUCAUUUCUGGUGAGACACCACAAACAAUAUUUUAUGAGGCCAAAAUAAGAAAGAAGGAAAUGAAAUAGCUCAGGAAUCUCAGGAAGAGCUCAUCGAACACUUUGCCUUUAUCUCAGACCAUUUUAUCCACAGCCCUGUUAAUCAGGAUUGGAUAUACCUCCAUGAGGGAGUCUUAAACGGAGGGAAAGAGAUGCCACAACUAAAAAAAAGAAUGCAAUAGAAGUUUGUCUUAAUGCCUGUUCUGUGAUGCACAACUUUCGUAAGCCAAAAUUUUAACCUUAUGAACAAUCAGUUCUGUGCUGCCCUUAGCAGAGAACCAUAAAUUAAAGAUAAGCAAUGGUUCAGACUUUCCAGGGCCUUGACUCAGGAGUAACUCUGAAAUCCCAACCAAAUAUGUAUUUGGUUAAGCAAUUUGGCACAUUUUUCUAUUUUGAGGCAUUAAACUAUAAUUACAAGUCACUUUUAUUUCAUUCCAAAUAAAUGUCCCUAAAGUAGAUAGAACUAGAGGUUUCCUUUUUUUAAAAAAAGGAAACAGGAAAACAACAAACAAAACCAAAAAGAACAAAAGCAAAACAAAA
Molecule: long non-coding RNA, 1611 nt
Organism: Homo sapiens (human)
Lineage: Eukaryota; Metazoa; Chordata; Mammalia; Primates; Hominidae
Product: long intergenic non-protein coding RNA 2542
Source: Ensembl